This 65-nucleotide transfer RNA is filed under the name Cryptotermes parvifrons. RNAcentral describes it as "tRNA-Asn". The record is from RNAcentral. Lineage: Eukaryota; Metazoa; Arthropoda; Insecta; Blattodea; Kalotermitidae.
UUAAUUGAAACCAAAAAGAGGUAUAUCACUGUUAAUGAUAAAAAUGAACCAAUGUUCCAAUUAAG